This 483-nucleotide ribosomal RNA is filed under the name uncultured bacterium. RNAcentral describes it as "partial 16S ribosomal RNA". It matches the Rfam family "Bacterial small subunit ribosomal RNA", at positions 30 to 507 of the family's 1533-position model. The record is from RNAcentral.
AUUGAACGCUGGCGGCAGGCCUAACACAUGCAAGUCGAGCGGAUGAAGGGAGCUUGCUCCUGGAUUCAGCGGCGGACGGGUGAGUAAUGCCUAGGAAUCUGCCUGGUAGUGGGGGAUAACGUCCGGAAACGGGCGCUAAUACCGCAUACGUCCUGAGGGAGAAAGUGGGGGAUCUUCGGACCUCACGCUAUCAGAUGAGCCUAGGUCGGAUUAGCUAGUUGGGGGGGUAAGGCCUACCAAGGCGACGAUCCGUAACUGGUCUGAGAGGAUGAUCAGUCACACUGGAACUGAGACACGGUCCAGACUCCUACGGGAGGCAGCAGUGGGGAAUAUUGGACAAUGGGCGAAAGCCUGAUCCAGCCAUGCCGCGUGUGUGAAGAAGGUCUUCGGAUUGUAAAGCACUUUAAGUUGGGAGGAAGGGCAGUAAGUUAAUACCUUGCUGUUUUGACGUUACCAACAGAAUAAGCACCGGCUAACUUCGUG